UUGCUCCUCCGCCCUGCAGCAGCCAAUUGCCGCCACUCUGCUGUCCACGCUCAGCCACCCAGCCUGCCUAUUCCGCCUCCCACUUCUCCGCCUUGCUGCUCCACCACCCGAAACUUCUUCCACUUUGCUGCUCCACCAUCAGCAAUUCUCUUACCUCCAACUCCACACCGUCUUCGUCACUCUGUUUCACCUACUUCCGCAAUCUCGUAGCUGCCCCUUUCCUGUCCAAAGCUUCCGUCCUCCUCUCGCCCCGACCUUCCGCAGCUCAUCUCUCACCCAUGACCACCAUCAUCUCGCGCUGCCUUCUUUCUCUACCUUCCCGACUCUCUCGAGCC
This 335-nucleotide long non-coding RNA is filed under the name Amborella trichopoda. Its description in RNAcentral is "long non-coding RNA (ATRI_LNC004724)". Lineage: Eukaryota; Viridiplantae; Streptophyta; Magnoliopsida; Amborellales; Amborellaceae. The record is from RNAcentral.